This 1499-nucleotide ribosomal RNA is filed under the name metagenome. RNAcentral's name for it is "bacterial SSU rRNA". It matches the Rfam family "Bacterial small subunit ribosomal RNA". The record is from RNAcentral.
GAGUCUGAUCAUGGCUCAGAUUGAACGCUGGCGGCAGGCCUAACACAUGCAAGUCGAACGGUAACAGGAAGCAGCUUGCUGCUUCGCUGACGAGUGGCGGACGGGUGAGUAAUGUCUGGGAAGCUGCCUGAUGGAGGGGGAUAACUACUGGAAACGGUAGCUAAUACCGCAUAAUGUCGCAAGACCAAAGAGGGGGACCUUCGGGCCUCUUGCCAUCGGAUGUGCCCAGAUGGGAUUAGCUUGUUGGUGGGGUAACGGCUCACCAAGGCGACGAUCCCUAGCUGGUCUGAGAGGAUGACCAGCCACACUGGAACUGAGACACGGUCCAGACUCCUACGGGAGGCAGCAGUGGGGAAUAUUGCACAAUGGGCGCAAGCCUGAUGCAGCCAUGCCGCGUGUAUGAAGAAGGCCUUCGGGUUGUAAAGUACUUUCAGCGGGGAGGAAGGGAGUAAAGUUAAUACCUUUGCUCAUUGACGUUACCCGCAGAAGAAGCACCGGCUAACUCCGUGCCAGCAGCCGCGGUAAUACGGAGGGUGCAAGCGUUAAUCGGAAUUACUGGGCGUAAAGCGCACGCAGGCGGUUUGUUAAGUCAGAUGUGAAAUCCCCGGGCUCAACCUGGGAACUGCAUCUGAUACUGGCAAGCUUGAGUCUCGUAGAGGGGGGUAGAAUUCCAGGUGUAGCGGUGAAAUGCGUAGAGAUCUGGAGGAAUACCGGUGGCGAAGGCGGCCCCCCGGACGAAGACUGACGCUCAGGUGCGAAAGCGUGGGGAGCAAACAGGAUUAGAUACCCUGGUAGUCCACGCCGUAAACGAUGUCGACUUGGAGGUUGUGCCCUUGAGGCGUGGCCUCCGGAGCUAACGCGUUAAGUCGACCGCCUGGGGAGUACGGCCGCAAGGUUAAAACUCAAAUGAAUUGACGGGGGCCCGCACAAGCGGUGGAGCAUGUGGUUUAAUUCGAUGCAACGCGAAGAACCUUACCUGGUCUUGACAUCCACGGAAGUUUUCAGAGAUGAGAAUGUGCCUUCGGGAACCGUGAGACAGGUGCUGCAUGGCUGUCGUCAGCUCGUGUUGUGAAAUGUUGGGUUAAGUCCCGCAACGAGCGCAACCCUUAUCCUUUGUUGCCAGCGGUCCGGCCGGGAACUCAAAGGAGACUGCCAGUGAUAAACUGGAGGAAGGUGGGGAUGACGUCAAGUCAUCAUGGCCCUUACGACCAGGGCUACACACGUGCUACAAUGGCGCAUACAAAGAGAAGCGACCUCGCGAGAGCAAGCGGACCUCAUAAAGUGCGUCGUAGUCCGGAUUGGAGUCUGCAACUCGACUCCAUGAAGUCGGAAUCGCUAGUAAUCGUGGAUCAGAAUGCCACGGUGAAUACGUUCCCGGGCCUUGUACACACCGCCCGUCACACCAUGGGAGUGGGUUGCAAAAGAAGUAGGUAGCUUAACCUUCGGGAGGGCGCUUACCACUUUGUGAUUCAUGACUGGGGUGAAGUCGAAACAAGGUA